This is a microRNA precursor of Setaria italica (foxtail millet), 164 nucleotides long. It matches the Rfam family "MIR2118 microRNA precursor family". The record is from Rfam. Lineage: Eukaryota; Viridiplantae; Streptophyta; Magnoliopsida; Poales; Poaceae.
GUGAGACGGGAAAAGGAUGAAAUGAGGGCCUAAGAGCAGUGGGCACGGGAACAUGGAGGAAAGCUCAAUUGAUGAUUACCUCUUGGAGGUGGGAUCUGCUUAAAGCUUUCCUAAUGCCUCCCAUGCCUAUUGUUCUUUGGUGCUCCUUCCUUUUCCUUUUGAUU